GUAGAAUGUCAUUUCCCUCGUUUCUCUAGCACUGUUCGUUUUCUCCCUCGCUAAUCAGUAUCAUAAAGGGUAAAUUCUUCUAACAUUUGCUGUGCUUUAUUACACAGCUACCUAAGUAUGUAAAUAGACCCAUGUAUCUUUGUUAGUGUAUUUUAAAUGUGGGCAAGUGUUACUGUGCUGCACAUGUCUCUUUGCAGCUUGCUUCUCCCAGCAUGAUUUGUGGGUUGAUACCUGUAGAACUGACUGUCCAUUUCAGCAGUUUUAAAAUAGUAUUGGCAGUUGUAUUAUUUUUAAAGAGACCCAAUUCUAAAACGGAUUCAUUUUUGUUAAAGAUACUGCCUCAAAUUUUCAGAUGCUGCAGCAAUCCAUACAUGAACAUUCUCUGAGAAUGAUUUAGUACCUGAUUUUUCUUUUAAAUUUAUGCUUUAGAAAAACGUGUGGAGAUAUUUUAAAAUGAUGAGAGAAUAUAAUACAAGUGUACCUGUCUGGUAUAAUUCAUAAAUGUUACUAUUUUGUCAUAUCUGUUUUAGAUCUUCUUUUUAAACUUUAACUAGUCAUCAUUUCUGAUGAAAUUCAAGUCCCCUCUGCCUCUCUGGCUGCACUCUCCAGCCUUCCCCCAAAGGCAAACUCUAUCAUGAAUUUGGUAUGCAACUUUGCAAUUUAGGUUGCAGACUUUCAACUUUAUAUGAAUUUAUAUGGAGAUACUGCUUUUUAAAAAUAUAUACACAUGGUUUAAGACUGUAUAUAUUAUUCUUUAACUUGUUUCUUCCUUCUUGGUAUGUUUUUGGGUGUUUUCCCCCUCCUAAUCAUGUUGGUGAAUAUAAAUGCAGUUCACUCAUUUUAAUUGCUGCAUUGUAGAUCCAUGCAUAUGAAUGUGUCCUUUUUAUUCAUGGUCCUACUGAUGAAUGUUGAAGUUGUUGCCAAUAUUUUGGCAUUGCUAGUGCAUGUUUCUUUUGCACAUAUGCAAGAAUUUCUCCAGUGUGUACCUAGGUGACGAUUGCUAGGCAGCACUCAUGUUUUGAGUCUUACUAGAAACUGCCAAUGACGUUCCAAUUUGCACACCCAUCAGCAGCAGAUGAGAUGUCCUGUUUCCCUAACAUGAUGCUAAACCCAUUCUAGAAUCAGACUUAUUUCUGCCAGUUGGCUUAAAAAGAAAAUACCCAGUAUCUUGUUAUUUUAUUUGAAUUUCCCUCACUGCUAGUGAGGCUGGGCAUUUUUCCAUGUACUUAUUGGCUGUUGAAGUUUCUGAGUCUGUGAUUUGUUUUUUGUCAGCCUUUGCCAUUUUUCCAAUAGGCUACGUGCGCUUUUUAUCUUUCAUUCCUUGGACUUAUGGUGUUUCAUGUAUAUAUAUGUUGAACACAUUGUCCCAAUCUAUAGUUCGUCUUUUAACUUUUGAUGUUGCCUGUUUUACAGAGAACAUAAAAUAUUGUUGUAGUCAAUCCC
RNAcentral lists this long non-coding RNA (1443 nucleotides) under Mus musculus (house mouse). Its description in RNAcentral is "long non-coding RNA chr6:30960118-30961561". Lineage: Eukaryota; Metazoa; Chordata; Mammalia; Rodentia; Muridae. The record is from RNAcentral.